This 492-nucleotide ribosomal RNA is filed under the name uncultured bacterium. RNAcentral's name for it is "partial 16S ribosomal RNA". It matches the Rfam family "Bacterial small subunit ribosomal RNA", at positions 29 to 507 of the family's 1533-position model. The record is from RNAcentral.
AGUGAGCGCUGGCGGUAGGCCUAACACAUGCAAGUCGAACGGCAGCACAGUAAGAGCUUGCUCUUACGGGUGGCGAGUGGCGGACGGGUGAGGAAUACAUCGGAAUCUACUUUUUCGUGGGGGAUAACGUAGGGAAACUUACGCUAAUACCGCAUACGACCUACGGGUGAAAGCAGGGGAUCUUCGGACCUUGCGCGAUUGAAUGAGCCGAUGUCGGAUUAGCUAGUUGGCGGGGUAAAGGCCCACCAAGGCGACGAUCCGUAGCUGGUCUGAGAGGAUGAUCAGCCACACUGGAACUGAGACACGGUCCAGACUCCUACGGGAGGCAGCAGUGGGGAAUAUUGGACAAUGGGCGCAAGCCUGAUCCAGCCAUACCGCGUGGGUGAAGAAGGCCUUCGGGUUGAAAAGCCCUUUUGUUGGGAAAGAAAAGCAGCAGGUUAAUACCCCGCUGUUCUGACGGUACCCAAAGAAUAAGCACCGGCUAACUUCGUG